This 482-nucleotide ribosomal RNA is filed under the name Streptococcus gordonii. RNAcentral describes it as "bacterial SSU rRNA". It matches the Rfam family "Bacterial small subunit ribosomal RNA", at positions 28 to 485 of the family's 1533-position model. The record is from RNAcentral. Lineage: Bacteria; Bacillati; Bacillota; Bacilli; Lactobacillales; Streptococcaceae.
GACGAACGCUGGCGGCGUGCCUAAUACAUGCAAGUAGAACGCACAGUUUAUACCGUAGCUUGCUACACCAUAGACUGUGAGUUGCGAACGGGUGAGUAACGCGUAGGUAACCUGCCUGGUAGCGGGGGAUAACUAUUGGAAACGAUAGCUAAUACCGCAUAAUAUUAAUUAUUGCAUGAUAAUUGAUUGAAAGGUGCAAAUGCAUCACUACCAGAUGGACCUGCGUUGUAUUAGCUAGUAGGUGAGGUAACGGCUCACCUAGGCGACGAUACAUAGCCGACCUGAGAGGGUGAUCGGCCACACUGGGACUGAGACACGGCCCAGACUCCUACGGGAGGCAGCAGUAGGGAAUCUUCGGCAAUGGACGAAAGUCUGACCGAGCAACGCCGCGUGAGUGAAGAAGGUUUUCGGAUCGUAAAGCUCUGUUGUAAGAGAAGAACGGGUGUGAGAGUGGAAAGUUCACACUGUGACGGUAUCUACCA